UCUCAGAUGAGCCUAGGUCGGAUUAGCUAGUUGGUGAGGUAAUGGCUCACCAAGGCGACGAUCCGUAACUGGUCUGAGAGGAUGAUCAGUCACACUGGAACUGAGACACGGUCCAGACUCCUACGGGAGGCAGCAGUGGGGAAUAUUGGACAAUGGGCGAAAGCCUGAUCCAGCCAUGCCGCGUGUGUGAAGAAGGUCUUCGGAUUGUAAAGCACUUUAAGUUGGGAGGAAGGGCAUUAACCUAAUACGUUAGUGUUUUGACGUUACCGACAGAAUAAGCACCGGCUAACUCUGUGCCAGCAGCCGCGGUAAUACAGAGGGUGCAAGCGUUAAUCGGAAUUACUGGGCGUAAAGCGCGCGUAGGUGGUUUGUUAAGUUGGAUGUGAAAGCCCCGGGCUCAACCUGGGAACUGCAUUCAAAACUGACAAGCUAGAGUAUGGUAGAGGGUGGUGGAAUUUCCUGUGUAGCGGUGAAAUGCGUAGAUAUAAGAAGGAACACCAGUAGC
This 505-nucleotide ribosomal RNA is filed under the name Pseudomonas sp. Its description in RNAcentral is "bacterial SSU rRNA". It matches the Rfam family "Bacterial small subunit ribosomal RNA", at positions 219 to 716 of the family's 1533-position model. Lineage: Bacteria; Pseudomonadati; Pseudomonadota; Gammaproteobacteria; Pseudomonadales; Pseudomonadaceae. The record is from RNAcentral.